RNAcentral lists this ribosomal RNA (318 nucleotides) under Triticum aestivum (bread wheat). RNAcentral describes it as "partial small subunit ribosomal RNA". Lineage: Eukaryota; Viridiplantae; Streptophyta; Magnoliopsida; Poales; Poaceae. The record is from RNAcentral.
AUGUGGUGUACAAAUUUUGGUAUGAGUUUAAAUUAUCAUGACAAGCUUUUAGCUCAUAAUCUUACAGAAUUUUUAUUAGUAUACGAAGAGGAAAUCAGAAGUUUAAGGUUCCCUUUGUUCUUGUAUAAUCUGCUCAUUUUGAUCAUUUGCAUAUUUAUAUUAGUUUUUGCUCUGUUUGGUUUACUGCAUCAUUCAGAUAAUCCACGAAUGUUAUAUGUUCUUGCGUGUUGGCGCCUUGGCGGCCUCUACCUGUUUGUUGGUAUGCUUCUAACAGCGGAGUAUGUUUUUCAAGUGUCUAUUCAAGUGGAUGACUGCUAA